CGCAGCCCUCUCGCGGGCAGGGUUCGAAACCCAGCGGCUCCAAAUAUCACGCGCGGCCUCUUUCCCUCCCGCGCGCCUUCCGCGAACUCGGGCUGCGCUCGCCUCCCGCCGGCCGAACCCGCCCUGCGCUGCCGCCCCUAGGGCUGCGCUCGCCGCCCGCCGGCCGAACCCACCCUGCGCCACCGGCCCGUCCUGCGGGCUCCGGCCGCCGCCAUCGGGAUGCAGGGUCCGCGUGCGCCUCGGCUCCCGCGAACGCGCCCUGUGCCGUCGCCGCGCCCUGCAGGCUCCGACGCGCCUCACCUCCCGCGAACGCGCCCUGCACCGCGGCCCCGCCCUGCGGGCUUCGGCCGCCGCCGCCGCCGGGACGCGCGCAGGGGGUGCGGGCGCCGGCCACUGCCGUCGGGACGUGCGCCGGCUGCGGGCACGACCUCCGCCGCCGUCAUGCCAGCCAUCUUUUUUGGGAUUUUCGGAAGUAUUUUCGGGGAUUUUUCAUUCUUCACGUUGGAGGCCAAAUCCCGCGAGAUUUGUUUGAGGAAAUUGUUGCUAGGACAUUUGUGGGCAGCUUUGGCUUGAUCCUCUCUCAAAUCUGUCACGGAUUCGGCUUGGAUUUGGAGUUUUUCCCCAAAACCGAGUUCUUCGUAGGGUUUCGGUUGACUCCAAAAUUUGUGAUGGAUGCUUGAGCUUUUCGUCAGAUUCUUCGUGGAUCUAUUUUUCCUUGGGGCAGUGAAUCUAUGGCUCAAGUUUUGCUUCGAUUCGUUGUGAUUUGGGAAAGCAAUUUUGAUUCGAAGCUUUGCUAGCUCUCAUGUUCUUCCCCAUGGACAGGGAGAGCCUCACAGAGGCCACGUCGGGGGCAAUCGGCGCGCUCGUCAGCACCAUCGUGCUCUACCCGCUCGACACUUGCAUCUGAGCAUAGUCAUUAUUUAGUUGUCGUGAAUGGGCCUGCAUAACUGUUGCUGUAUGUGUGGCUGAGCACACAUAACCCUGUGCUGUUUACUUUUGGGCCUGCAUAAUUGUUUGGAAACAUUUGUUUUAGACUCCGGACAAAUUGGAAUGUAUGAGGUGUGGAAGUUCGUGCUGCUGGGGCCUUCAAGAGGACCUAUAGAUUUGUCAUUUCCAGGUUUUAGAAGAGAUUAUUUCAGAACUAAAUAAAAAGAGACGUACAUAUCUCCAGAUGGGCCUGCAUAACAUAUCUUUGAUCCGCAGAGAAAAGGACAGAAACAUUAGGUAAUCCAUGGCCCCCUGGAUCGAUGUGGACUUUAAGCUGAAAGCUGCUUACUUCAAAAGAUAUCACUGGAGUCUGGACCAUGCCUUCCUGCUUUAGAUUUCUGUGUUCUUUACUUAAACCUUCCCUGAAAUUCUUCUGUUGCAGGUAUCUCAUUUUUGCAUGCCUCUGCAACCAAUUGCUUCAAUAUUAUGUGUGUAAUACAGCUCUUUGAAAUGUUAAGUAGACUGUUUUAGCUUGCCAGGUUGCAAUCUGUAUUGCCUUAAUAAAUUUUUUUUGGCUUCUUGCCAUCUUUUCUCCAACUUUUUUUUUAACAAUUUCAUCGUGCUUCAGGAACAUCAUAUUCAAACAAACCAUGGAUCUGUAUUGGUUGCAAUAUAUGGUGACCAUGAUAAGCCUGCUGUUAUUACUUAUCCAGAUAUUGCCUUGAACCGUAAGUUUUAUAUUCAUACUUUGUUGUUAUAUAUAAGAAUUAUGCAGCACUAUGACUGAAGUCAACUAUAGAUAUGUCUUGCCAAAUGUUACAUAUCCUUAGAAAAAUGGACUUUACCCUCAACAUAAUAACUAUGUUACAUA
Panicum virgatum (switchgrass) is the source of this 1798-nucleotide long non-coding RNA. RefSeq lists it as uncharacterized. The transcript is spliced from 5 exons. Lineage: Eukaryota; Viridiplantae; Streptophyta; Magnoliopsida; Poales; Poaceae. The record is from RefSeq and is a predicted model, not a curated record.